UACAGGGGGGCAAGCGUUGUUCGGAAUUACUGGGCGUAAAGGGUCAGUAGGCGGCCAACUAAGUCCGACGUGAAAUCCCAAAGCUUAACUUUGGAACUGCGUCGGAUACUGGAUGGCUUGAAUUCGGGAGAGGGAUGCAGAAUUCCAGGUGUAGCGGUGAAAUGCGUAGAUAUCUGGAGGAAUACCGGUGGCGAAGGCGGCAUCCUGGACCGAGAUUGACGCUGAACGACGAAAGCUAGGGGAGCAAACGGG
RNAcentral lists this ribosomal RNA (252 nucleotides) under uncultured bacterium. RNAcentral's name for it is "partial 16S ribosomal RNA". It matches the Rfam family "Bacterial small subunit ribosomal RNA", at positions 524 to 776 of the family's 1533-position model. The record is from RNAcentral.